RNAcentral lists this ribosomal RNA (336 nucleotides) under uncultured bacterium. Its description in RNAcentral is "partial 16S ribosomal RNA". It matches the Rfam family "Bacterial small subunit ribosomal RNA", at positions 338 to 666 of the family's 1533-position model. The record is from RNAcentral.
CCUACGGGAGGCAGCAGUAGGGAAUCUUCCACAAUGGGCGAAAGCCUGAUGGAGCAACGCCGCGUGGGUGAAGAAGGUCUUCGGAUCGUAAAACCCUUUUGUUAGGGAAGCAAGUUCGUGAGAGUGACUCUUCACGUUUCUACGGUAUCUAACCAGAACGCCACGGCUAAAUACGUGCCAGCAGCCGCGGUAAUACGUAGGUGGCAAGCGUUAUUCGGAUUUAUUGGGCGUAAAGGGAACGCAGGCUGUCUUUUAAGUCUGAUGUGAAAGCCUUCGGCUUAACCGGAGUAGUGCAUUGGAAACUGGGAGACUAGAGUACAGAAGAGGAGAGUGGAA